CAUUAUCGAAUAAACUUGAACAGGCUGUUGCUGGUCUUCUUGUGGGACAUGUGCACGCUUGUCAUCUUUAUCAUUUCUCCAACUGUGCACGUAUUUUGUAGACCUGGAGGGGGGAUGGAAUUCGUUCCGAGUGGGGACUGCUGUGCUUCAAAAAAAAAAAGAGGUCGGCUUUCCCUUUGAAAGGUCUAUGUCACUUUUUCACAAACCAAUGUGUCUAGAAUGUUGUAAUGAAUAAAAGUUAUAAAAAACAACUUUCAGCAACGGAUCUCUUGGCUCUCGCAUCGAUGAAGAACGCAGCGAAAUGCGAUAAGUAAUGUGAAUUGCAGAAUUCAGUGAAUCAUCGAAUCUUUGAACGCAUCUUGCGCUCCUUGGUAUUCCGAGGAGCAUGCCUGUUUGAGUGUCAUUUUGAACUCUCAAAGCCCCACGUUUUGACGUGGCUUUGGACUUGAGGGGCUUUUUGCAGGCUUUUGAUCAAAAAGCCUGGUCCCCUUGAAAAUCAUCAGUGGUAUCUGGAGCGGAAACCGCUAGGUGGUUGAUAACAUUCAUCUAUGCCUUUGGGUAUGCCGCGUAAAAUGUGCUGCUUCCAACGCCCCCAUGCUCUUUGACAACUUG
RNAcentral lists this ribosomal RNA (612 nucleotides) under uncultured fungus. RNAcentral's name for it is "eukaryotic LSU rRNA". The stretch from base 250 to 403 matches the Rfam family "5.8S ribosomal RNA". The record is from RNAcentral. Lineage: Eukaryota; Fungi.